Long non-coding RNA from Carassius carassius (crucian carp), 642 nucleotides. RefSeq lists it as uncharacterized. The record is from RefSeq and is a predicted model, not a curated record. NCBI's taxonomy places the organism in Eukaryota, Metazoa, Chordata, Actinopteri, Cypriniformes, Cyprinidae. The transcript has 3 exons.
AAUGUAACACUUGUUCAUCAGAACAGGAAGUGAAAAAAUUUCAAUAAGUCUUAUUCCUGUCUAAUUUCAUCCAAGACUAUCACGUAUUCAUCUGAGAACCAUCUUCUGCUCUGAUUCUGAAGGUUGUUUCUGUUUUUACAGUGUUUCCUCUGGUGUUUUUCAGGUUCAUUUGUGAUUAUCAUCACUGUGGUGGCUUUGGUUUUACUCCUGAUAGGACUUCCACUGAUUAUAGUGACUGUAUGGAAGAAAAAGAAGAAUAAAGGUCGGCUGUCGUCCUCCAUCGGAGAGUUUAAUCCAGUGAUUUAUGAACAGAUCAAAGACGCUGGACGUCACUGUAAUCCAGAGGACAGAGACACAGAAACAACUGUAGUUUACAGCUGUGUUUCCUGAGCUUGUGUCAUAUGUGACUCUACAGACCAUCAGUGAGACUCGAGCAUCUCUUCAUCAACUCCACAACACAGACCAGUUCAGUUUAACUAAUGUAAUAUAACAUCAUAUAGCAUAUGAGACUAAAUAUGUACAGUUUGGCAUCAUGGUGCAUGAUAUUGCAAGCACCACUAAUAUAAUUAAUCUAUGAGCAUGUUCAGAACCAAGAGAAAUCAUCUUCAUCCUUCUCAUCAUUUUCAUGAUUUUACUGAAAAU